RNAcentral lists this ribosomal RNA (883 nucleotides) under uncultured Dothideomycetes. RNAcentral's name for it is "SSU rRNA". It matches the Rfam family "Eukaryotic small subunit ribosomal RNA", at positions 563 to 1472 of the family's 1831-position model. Lineage: Eukaryota; Fungi; Ascomycota; Dothideomycetes. The record is from RNAcentral.
GUUGCCAAGCAGGCGCGGUAUUUCCAGCUCCAAUAGCGUAUAUUAAAGUUGUUGCAGUUAAAAAGCUCGUAGUUGAACCUGGGGUCUGGCUGGCCGGUCCGCCUCACCGCGUGUACUGGUCCGGCCGGACCUUUCCUUCUGGGGAGCCGCAUGCCCUUCACUGGGCGUGUCGGGGAACCAGGACUUUUACUUUGAAAAAAUUAGAGUGUUCAAAGCAGGCCUUUGCUCGAAUACAUUAGCAUGGAAUAAUAGAAUAGGACGUGCGGUUCUAUUUUGUUGGUUUCUAGGACCGCCGUAAUGAUUAAUAGGGAUAGUCGGGGGCAUCCGUAUUCAAUUGUCAGAGGUGAAAUUCUUGGAUUUAUUGAAGACGAACUACUGCGAAAGCAUUUGCCAAGGAUGUUUUCAUUAAUCAGUGAACGAAAGUUAGGGGAUCGAAGACGAUCAGAUACCGUCGUAGUCUUAACCAUAAACUAUGCCGACUCGGGAUCGGUGGGCGUUACUAUUUUGACUCCAUCGGCACCGUACGAGAAAUCAAAGUUUUUGGGUUCUGGGGGGAGUAUGGUCGCAAGGCUGAAACUUAAAGAAAUUGACGGAAGGGCACCACCAGGCGUGGAGCCUGCGGCUUAAUUUGACUCAACACGGGGAAACUCACCAGGUCCAGACACAAUAAGGAUUGACAGAUUGAGAGCUCUUUCUUGAUUUUGUGGGUGGUGGUGCAUGGCCGUUCUUAGUUGGUGGAGUGAUUUGUCUGCUUAAUUGCGAUAACGAACGAGACCUUAACCUGCUAAAUAGCCCGGCCCGCUUUGGCGGGUCGCCGGCUUCUUAGAGGGACUAUCGGCUCAAGCCGAUGGAAGUUUUGAGCAAUAACAGGUCUGUGAUGCCC